CCCUUAGAUGUCCUGGGCCGCACGCGCGUUACACUGAUGUAUUCAACGAGCUUAUAACCUUGGCCGAGAGGCCUGGGCAAUCUUGUUAACGUGCAUCGUGAUAGGGAUAGAUUAUUGAAAUUAUUAAUCUUGAACGAGGAAUUCCUAGUAAACGCAGAUCAUCAAUCUGCAUUGAUUACGUCCCUGUCCUUUGUACACACCGCCCGUCGCACCUACCGAUUGGAUGGUCCGGUGAAGCCUCGGGAUUGUGGUUCUUGCCGCUUUAUUGUGGCGUGACCGCGAGAACUUGUCUAAACCUUAUCAUCUAGAGGAAGGUGAAGUCGUAACA
Molecule: ribosomal RNA, 328 nt
Filed under: uncultured eukaryote
Lineage: Eukaryota
Description: partial 18S ribosomal RNA
Rfam family: Eukaryotic small subunit ribosomal RNA
Source: RNAcentral